AUAGCACUGAGGCCGCAGUAAUGAUCUGCAGGGGUAUUUGCUAUGCGGUCCCUGGUAGUCAGUGUUCACAGAUUUCAUGUUGGAGUAUUGCCCGGCACCAAGCUAGAAAGUGGACCUGCGACAUUACAUCUAUGCAAUGACAUCUUAGUUCUUGCUAGAGAUCUUCCACCGGUCGUUAUGGGGCAGUGGAAAUUGUCUGACUUGAGACGCUAUGGAGCUGUGGCCAAUGGCUUUGUCUUUGAGGGAGGAACACGGUGCGGAUACUGGGCCGGUGUGUUUUUCCUCUCCUGUACAGAAGGAGACCAGAUCAGUUUCCUAUUUGACUGCAUCGUUCGCGGCAUUUCUCCAACAAAAGGCCCGUUUGGUCUGCGCCCAGUGCUGCCAGAUCCAAACUUAAACCCUGCUUAUAUGGAAGAAAGGGUGGCACAUGAGACCCUACAGCUGGAAAAACGCCUCAGCCUGCUCUCUCAUCAUAGCCUGGGAGGAGAUGACAAAAGUUUGUCCAGUUCUUCUUCAGACACCAGCCAUUCAGAUGCCAGUGCCGGGAGCAGGUUGACCAUCUGGGCAGAUCCUUCCUCAGUCAGCACUUCUGCUGAAAGUCACGGUAUGGCAGCUGCAAAGGGCAUUCAUCUUGGAGAAGAUAAAGCAUAUGCUGAAGCCCUGCGUGCAUCCAAGCCACCUCCUAAGCCCGCACCAUCUAGACAUUUGCAGGAUAUAGGCCGUCAAAGCUCUUCUGACAGUGGGAUAGCUACCGGCAGUCACUCUUCUUACUCCGGAAGCUUUUCUUCCUAUGCUGAGAGCCUGGACAUUUGCCACGGCGAGGAGUUUGGCUCACUGAUCAGCUUACCAUUGGCCAUGGCCACAGAUCAGAAUCUAUGUACAUGUCAGCAUCCGGAUUCACACAGAGGGUCUGAAUAUCAGAUUCCUGCCUCUGUCAGACACCUUUACGACACACCUCGAAGUGUUUUACAGGCAGCUGUUAGAGAACCUCAUCACAAGACUUCAGAUUCCACAUUACUUAAGGACCAGGCCCAAGGAGCUCACAGCACCAGUGAUACUAAGCUAUUGCUGCCCCAUGUUGACUCCAAAACUGCAUCAUUACUCCAAGAAAGCAAAGACUCAGGUGAAGAGACAUAUGUGGAUUUUGUUCCAAAGUGGACCGCAACAAAGGGGCAACCACAGGGGAUGGAACCAAGAGGAAGUGACUUGGCCGCUGCAGGAACAAGUGAGACUUGUGACAUCUGCAGCCCGCAACCUGGAAUUACCAGGGCCCUUUUUUCUGCUUGCCCAGUAUGUGGGGGGCUGAAGGGAGCGACAGCCCUGCACACAGGAGUUUUAUCGACAACAUCCUUACAAGGCGCCACCUCUGCACUGGCAUCAACAGGAGCACAUAAACCUCACAAAGUCCCACCAAUGCUACUUGUCUCUGCAGGGGCAGGAGGUUAUCCGGCCGAGCCACUGGUUUCUGACCGACCUCGCAGUGAGACAGCAACUUAUGUAAAUAUUCCUAUCAGCCCUACAUCAAAGAAACAGCUCCAUUACAUGGCAUUAGAACUUCAAGAUCCUAGUACAGGAAUAAGAGGAGGAGGCGCCACCAAAUACGCUCAGAUAGAUAUUGCGGCAACAGAGACGGCACACAAAGUGGGGUCCCAGCACGCUCAGUCCAGAGAAGAACGUUUACAAGAGCUGGAGCAGAAGAGGAAAGGAAAUCAGCAAUGAGGGGUUUAGGUGUGUGGCAAAGGGGCCGGCGGCUCUAGGUCUGAGUGUAAACCUUUCUAAAAGUGACGCAUUAAGGUCCACUGGGCUCAAUGAACUACUGGAACUUAUUGAGUCAUAUAGUCGGCCCAGUGUGACUUAUUGAAAGAACGGAAUCAUAUGUUGCUUGGUGGCACAGGGGUCAUUCCAAAACUGAUAUUCCCUCUUGGAGACAUAACAAUCUAAAGUGUCCGGUCAUAGUAAGUGCCCUUUAAAUCCUAAGAUGGAAUGAAACAAAAAUGAUCUAUAAAUACUUGUAUAUUCACAUUAGUUUUGUACGUGUAGGAUAUCUAGGUAUUUAUUUGUUCCUUUCACCAUGUAUUAUUAUUAUUUAAUUUUAUGUGCAUAUCAUUUUAUACAUAAAGGAUUCUGCAACAUACCUCCUCAGUUUUUGUCUUAAACAUAGGACUAUGUUUUAAGCAAAUCGCAAAUGAUUUCGGUUUUGCUGUUUUCAAUAAAGGAAAAUUCCAGUCAAAACUGGGAAUUGGUUUGGACAUUGUGCUCUCGGUAGUCACAGAAUGGUUUCUAUAUUAUAGCAGCUUGUGGCCUCAUAUUCAUAGAUGUAGUGCAAUGUCUAUAGAGUUCUACUAAAUCCAUACUGUGAGGUGUAACCUGAAGCUCCUGGGCCCCUAUACAGAAACUCUAAUAGGACCCCCACAUACCAUGUGCAACAUAUGAACAUUAACUAAUAACGCUUUUGCUUUGACAGAGUUUGGUUCAUUAGCAGGGCCAGAUUAUCAUAGGAGCUUUUGGAGCUCAUGCUCUGGGCCCCGCAAGCCCAGGAAUGAAAGGGGGCCCCGUUCCCUCUGCAUCAUACAGAUCCUGGUCAGCAGUCACUUAAAAACAGGGCUCUCCUCACAGAACAUAAUGGCAGUGACUGCCGAUCAGGACCUGCUUUGUACCUUCUGAAUGCUGGAGGGGAUGAUUUCUUUGAGGACCUGUGGUGAUGUCACGAUCAUGUGACUUGGGAGCGGAGCUAAAUUUCCCAGAGCAGCCAGGAGAGCAGAGUGUAUGUGUCGAAUCAGGUGCUUGUAGAAACCCGGAAAACAUCGGAUGGCAGGAGAUGAGCGUACUUCUCUUACAAUAUGUCUUGUUUUGAACAUCAGAUGUGGACUAUUGUAUAUUAACAAGAAUAUCAUAUUGGCAUUGAUUUCCAUCAUUCAUUAUUACUGAUAACGUCCAAUAAAACUUUA
Molecule: RNA transcript, 2948 nt
Organism: Hyla sarda
Lineage: Eukaryota; Metazoa; Chordata; Amphibia; Anura; Hylidae
Gene: DOK7
Gene name: docking protein 7
Exons: 10
Source: RefSeq, a predicted model, not a curated record